UGGGGAAUUUUGCACAAUGGGGGAAACCCUGAUGCAGCGACGCCGCGUGAUUUAGAAGGCCUUCGGGUUGUAAAAAUCUUUUCUAUGGGAAGAAAAUGACAGUACCAUAGGAAUAAGGACCGGCUAAUUACGUGCCAGCAGCCGCGGUAAUACGUAAGGUCCGAGCGUUGUCCGGAUUUAUUGGGCGUAAAGCGAGCGCAGGCGGUCAAUUAAGUCUGAUGUGAAAGCCCCCGGCUCAACCGGGGAGGGUCAUUGGAAACUGGUUGACUUGAGUGCAGAAGAGGAGAGUGGAAUUCCAUGUGUAGCGGUGAAAUGCGUAGAUAUAUGGAGGAACACCAGUGGCGAAGGCGACUCUCUGGUCUGUAACUGACGCUGAGGCUCGAAAGCGUGGGUAGCAAACAGG
RNAcentral lists this ribosomal RNA (403 nucleotides) under Bacteroidota bacterium. Its description in RNAcentral is "Bacteroidetes bacterium partial 16S ribosomal RNA". It matches the Rfam family "Bacterial small subunit ribosomal RNA", at positions 355 to 776 of the family's 1533-position model. The record is from RNAcentral. Lineage: Bacteria; Pseudomonadati; Bacteroidota.